GUGCUCACUUCAGCAGCACAUAUACUAACAUUGGAUACAGAGAAGAUUAGCAUGACCCCUGCUCAGGGAUGAUACAAAAAUUCAUGGAGAGUUUCAUAGUUAA
Molecule: small nuclear RNA, 103 nt
Organism: Nannospalax galili (Upper Galilee mountains blind mole rat)
Lineage: Eukaryota; Metazoa; Chordata; Mammalia; Rodentia; Spalacidae
Source: Ensembl